This 497-nucleotide ribosomal RNA is filed under the name uncultured bacterium. RNAcentral's name for it is "partial 16S ribosomal RNA". It matches the Rfam family "Bacterial small subunit ribosomal RNA", at positions 28 to 507 of the family's 1533-position model. The record is from RNAcentral.
GAUGAACGCUGGCGGCGUGCCUAAUACAUGCAAGUCGAGCGAACGGACGAGAAGCUUGCUUCUCUGAGUUUAGCGGCGGACGGGUGAGUAACACGUGGAUAACCUACCUAUAAGACUGGGUUAACUUCGGGAACCCGGAGCUAAUACCGGAUGAUAUUUUAAACCGCAUGGUUCAAAAGUGAAAGACGGUCUUGCUGUCACUAAUAGAUGGAUCCGCGCUGCAUUAGCUAGUUGGUAAGGUAACGGCUUACCAAGGCAACGAUGCAUAGCCGACCUGAGAGGGUGAUCGGCCACACUGGAACUGAGACACGGUCCAGACUCCUACGGGAGGCAGCAGUAGGGAAUCUUCCGCAAUGGGCGAAAGCCUGACGGAGCAACGCCGCGUGAGUGAUGAAGGUCUUCGGAUCGUAAAACUCUGUUAUUAGGGAAGAACAUAUGUGUAAGUAACUGUGCACAUCUUGACGGUACCUAAUCAGAAAGCCACGGCUAACUACGUG